AUACCUUUCCCAGCCUUUUGGCUAAGAUCAAGUUUAGUAUCUUUUACCAAAAAAAAAAGUUUAGUAUCUGUGUGGGUCAUCGACCCACAUGAUAUCUUUUAGAGAGAGGGCCCAGUGGCCCACCACGGUGGCUUGCUGCUGGGGCACUCGAGCCUAUGCGUUGCACUUGCACUACUGCUUGGCCGUGGCGCACCCC
This is a small nuclear RNA of Macadamia integrifolia, 196 nucleotides long. RefSeq annotates it as U2 spliceosomal RNA. The record is from RefSeq and is a predicted model, not a curated record. NCBI's taxonomy places the organism in Eukaryota, Viridiplantae, Streptophyta, Magnoliopsida, Proteales, Proteaceae. The transcript has a single exon.